AAUGAACGCUGGCGGCAUGCCUAACACAUGCAAGUCGAACGACACCUCCGGGUCUAGUGGCGCUCGGGUGUGUCACGCGUGGGAACCUUCACUUAGGUUCGGAAUACCUCUCUGACGGGGGUGCUAAUACCGGUUAAUGUCUUCGGACACAAGAUUUUUCGUCCUUGGAGGGGCCCGCGUUGGUUUAGCUUGUUGGUAGGGUAAAAGCCUACCAAGGCGUGGAUCCAUAGCUGGUCUGAGAGGAUGGUCAGCCACACUGGGACUGAGACACGGCCCAGACUCCUACGGGAGGCAGGAGUGGGGAAUAUUGGACAAUGGGCGAAAGCCUGAUCGAGCACUGCCGCGUGAGUGAUGUAGGCCUGAGGGUUGUAAAGCUCUUUUACCCGGGAUGAUAAUGACGGUACCGGGAGAAUAAGCACCGGCUAACUCCGUG
Molecule: ribosomal RNA, 433 nt
Filed under: uncultured bacterium
Lineage: Bacteria
Description: partial 16S ribosomal RNA
Rfam family: Bacterial small subunit ribosomal RNA
Source: RNAcentral